Molecule: ribosomal RNA, 472 nt
Filed under: uncultured bacterium
Lineage: Bacteria
Description: bacterial SSU rRNA
Rfam family: Bacterial small subunit ribosomal RNA
Source: RNAcentral
GAUGAACGCUGGCGGUAUGCCUAACACAUGCAAGUCGUACGAGAGUUUUUAACUCUAGUGGCGGACGGGUGAGUAACACGUGAGAAUUUGCCUUUAGGAGGGGGACAACAAUCGGAAACGAAUGCUAAUACCCCAUAUGCUUUCGAGUGAAAUGGAUUUUAUCCGCCUAGAGAGAAGCUCGCGGCUGAUUAGCUUGUUGGUAAGGUAAGAGCUUACCAAGGCGACGAUCAGUAUCUGGUUUGAGAGGACGAUCAGACACACUGGAACUGAGACACGGUCCAGACUCCUACGGGAGGCAGCAGUGGGGAAUUUUCCGCAAUGGGCGAAAGCCUGACGGAGCAAUACCGCGUGAGGGAAGAAUGCCUAUGGGUUGUAAAGCUCUUUUGUCAGGGAAGAAACAGCAGCUCUAACACAGUCUGCGAAUGACGGUACCUGAAGAAUAAGCACCGGCUAACUACGUGCCAGCAGCCGC